RNAcentral lists this long non-coding RNA (2898 nucleotides) under Chinchilla lanigera (long-tailed chinchilla). Its description in RNAcentral is "lncRNA (ENSCLAG00000029102.1)". The record is from RNAcentral. Lineage: Eukaryota; Metazoa; Chordata; Mammalia; Rodentia; Chinchillidae.
GCAGGUCAGCUACACGGCUUCACAGCCCGAUGGAAAGCAGCUGCAGGGUAUUCCUAAUGCUUCUCAUGUAAGUAAUAACAUGAGAACAUCAGUCUAGCCUUCUCAGACAGCAGCCCCAGGAAAUCCGGGAACAGUUCAGGGACCAAGUUCUGGUAACACUUCGUUAUUGAGUCACAGCAAAGCCUCUAAUGCUGCUGUAAAAUUGGCAGAAAGCAAAAAAUUACAAAUUCAAGAAAAAGCAGCACAGGAGGUAAAACUGGCGAUUAAGCUAUUUUACCAAAACAAAGACAUCACCAAGGAAGAGUACAAAGAGAUUGUACGGAAGGUAGUAGAUAAAGUUUGUCAUAUUAAGAGUGGAGAAGUAAAUCCUACUAAAGUGGCGAAUCUGGUUAAAGCCUACGUGGACAAACACAAACACUCUCGGAAAGGGAGCCAGAGAAGGCUGAGGAGGAGCAGGUGUCUGCGGAGCGCAGCGGGGCUGAGGCGGCGAGCGCUGCGAGCACGUUACCGAGACAUCUGCCAAGUGCAGUUCCAACGUGCUCCAGUAGGAGAUCUGCGUAACUAUGACUGAAACUGGUUUUGACAAACUUAUUCUUUUAAUGUAGGAUAUGAUGUUUUGUUCUAAAUAAAUAUAGUUCUACACUGCAACUUCUUCAUCCACACCCUCACCUCAAAUAAAUAAAUUCAAGAGAAAGUAAAAGGUUUAAAGGAACAUGCAUUUUUAGUAGGACUGUACUAGUGUGGAUACUGGAAGAUGUACAGCUUUUUGGUUGGACUGUUUGAGUACAACAAUGGAGUGCAUAAAUUAGAAACUUCUAAGUGCACUGGUUUUGGGAGGGAUAUACGUAUAAUACAUUUAUUCUGUCAGGCUAAGAAAUAAAGUAUAAACUUUAUGACUUUUCCCCUCUAAUUAUAGAAAGUUAAGUAAUGUAUUACCAUGAAAGUAUUUCUAAUAAAUAGAACAUACCCAGGGGCAGGGUUCCUCAUGUGUAUUUUUAAAGCACAUAUCUGCUUAGAUAGAAAACAAAUUAUCAGGGGCUGGGGAUUUAGCUCAGCAGCACAGCGCCUGCCUGGCAAGCACAAGGUCUUGAGUUCAGUUCCCGGUACUGGCAAAAAAAAAAAAAAAAAUUAUCAGGAGUAAAAUUCAGUGUUCAAAACUUUGAGAACUCUUCACUUAGGUAUCACCAAAUAAAGAUUAUGCUGCCAUUUAAAAUAAAAUGGAAAGAUAUCUCCUAUUCAUGAAGUGAAAAUGACCCUACUCCCAAAACUUUUAUACAGAUUUAAUGUAAUCCCAAUCAAAAUACCAUUAGCAUACCUAAUAGAACUAGAGAAAACAUACCUAAAACUCAUUUGGAACUAGAAGAGACCUAGAAUAGCAAAAGCAAUCCUGGGUAACAAAGACAAGUCAGGGGGCAUCACAAUCCCUCACUUGAAAUUACACUAUAAUGCUACUGUAAUAAAAUCAGCAUAUUAUUGGCAAAAAACAGACCAGAGGAUCAAUGAAACAGAAUAGAAGGUGCAGGCACAACUGCAAACACACUCAGCCAUCUUAUCUUUGACAAAGGAGCCAAACACAUUCACUGGAAGAAAGAUAGUCUCUAAUAAAUAGUGAUGGAAAAACUGCCUUCCCGCAUGCUGAAGAAUAAACCCAUGCCUAUCACCAGGCAUGAAACUAAAGUCAACAUGAAUCAAAGAUCUAAAUAUGAAAGCAGAAGCUCUAAAUCUACGGGAAAAGAAAAUAGGUAGAAAUCAUCUAUACAUAGGUGUAGGCAUAUACUUCAUGAACAGAACCCAGACCACAUGGGAAAUACUACAAAGAAUCAAUAAAUAGAAUCUCACCCUAAUAAAAAGCUUUUGCACAACAAAACAAAUCACCCACAGAGUUAAAAGACAACCCACAUGUGGGAAAAAACUAUACCCAGUUGUUCUUUAGACAAAGGACUUAUAUCUAAAUUAUACAAAGAAAUGAAAAAAUCAUGUCACCAAUUUCAAAGACCCCAUCCAAAAAUGGGCAGCUGAGGUGAAUAUAUACUUCUUAAAUGAAGAAAUACAGAUGGCAAAUAAAUAUAGAAAAAAAGGUCAACAUCACUGAUCAUUUCAGAGGUGUAAAUUGAAACAACACUGAGAUUCUGUCUCACCCCAGUAAGGCUAUCAUCAAGAAAUCUACCGAUAACAAAUGCAGGAAGGGCUAUGUGUAAAAAGGAACCAUUCCCCACUGUAGAUGGGAGUUCAAACUGGUGCAACCACUGCGGAUACCAGUAUGCAGAUUCCUCCAAAAGCUAGGAUUAGAGGUUCCAUUCUACCUAGCUAUUCCCCAUCUAGGUAUCCACCCAGAAUGACAAACAUCAUACCACAGCAAUACAUGUGCACCCAUGUCUAUAGCAGCAAAACAUGUAAUAGCUAAAUCUUAGAAACAACCCAAAUGCCGAUCAACAGAGCAAUGGAUAAAAAAGGUAUGGUAUUUUUGUACAAUGGAGUACUACUUAGCCAUAAAGAAGGAUAAACUUGAGCCUUUUCUAGGUAAAUGGAUGCAAUUUGAGACCAUGCUAAUAAGUGAGAUAAAUCAGACCCAUAUAUGUAAACAACAUAUUGUCUCACCAGUAUGAGAAAUUGUAUGAGUAAAUAAGAUCCAAAAUGUAUACUAGAUAUUGUGAAUCAGGAAGAAAUUGUUGAAAAAAAGAGAAAAACUGAUAGAGGAAAGGGGAAAGGAAUGAAAAAAACAGGAAAAAAACAUAAAUGUGCACACAUAAAAUAGUGAAGAGAGUUAUACAGCUAGUUUUUCUUAGUUUGUUGAAGAGAAACUAAUAUUGUUUGGACAAUAUUUCAUGCCUAUAUCUCAUAUUCUGAGUAACUACUAUGAAAAUAAUAAUAUGCAAUGUAUUAAUUACUGCUAGUCUC